This 332-nucleotide ribosomal RNA is filed under the name uncultured eukaryote. Its description in RNAcentral is "partial 18S ribosomal RNA". It matches the Rfam family "Eukaryotic small subunit ribosomal RNA", at positions 1470 to 1796 of the family's 1831-position model. The record is from RNAcentral.
CCCUUAGAUGUCCUGGGCUGCACGCGCGCUACACUGGAAGUUACGGAUUGAGAUACUACCUUGUCCGAAAUGGUCCGGGUAAUCACCUAAAAGCUUGUCAUAAUUGGAAUGGAUUAUUGUAACUAGUAAUCCUGAGCGAGGAAUUCCUAGUAAGUCCCAGUCAACAGCUGGUACUGAUUACGUCCCUGCCCUUUGUACACACCGCCCGUCGCUACUACUGAUUGGACGUUUAAGCAAGAUUUUUAAACACUGACAGUGUGUAGUUCACGCUAUACUACAGUGAGAAGAAGAAGAUCGAGCUUACUUGUCUAGAGGAAGUAAAAGUCGUAACA